This 3786-nucleotide long non-coding RNA is filed under the name Monomorium pharaonis (pharaoh ant). RNAcentral's name for it is "uncharacterized LOC114254557". Lineage: Eukaryota; Metazoa; Arthropoda; Insecta; Hymenoptera; Formicidae. The record is from RNAcentral.
UGCGCGCGCGCGCGUGUGUGUGUGUGUGGUGUGUGUAGAAUAGAAAAUCCAUAAUGUCAAAAAAAUAUUCUGUAUAUAUUGUACAUGCAAAAAAUGUAUAUAAAUAAAGAUAUACCUACAUUUAGGGAUAUUUAUAAGAUACAUGAAUACACUUGAUUUGUAUAGGGUUAAAACGGAUCAAGAGGAAAAAGGGGGUUUAUGAUUAGAAGGGCCGUGAAGGGGAUGGAGGUGGAACGUGUAAAGAUCGCACAAUGGCCAGGGCGCGUAGGCGGUGAUGAGAAUGUAUUGUAAAUAUGAUGUAUAAUAUGGAGAGACUGCAAACCCUGAAGGGACGCAGUAAAUAAACAUACAUACAUACAUACAUAUAUACACUUGAUUUGUAUAUUCAAAAAAGAUCAUAGCGUAUAUAUAUAUAUAUGUACAAUAUAUUUCAUGUAUAUUCCAUGUAUUUACAUUAAAUAUAUGUACAUGCGAUAUACGCUGACGUAGAUACAUUUAUAUAGAAUAUUGUAAGUUGCGACAGUGAGCCGUCUAACUCGUAAUCAAAUUUUAGUACGCAUGUGCGAAUACGUACAUCUAAUAACAUAGCUGCGCCCACGAUAUUUUAAUCUGCUUCAAUCUCUUUUUAGUUACACGUGUCGCAUAUCUGCAGAAGAUCUGACACAAUGAGCUACCAAAAUACAAAAAUCUCUAUUUAAAUUUUAUAGCGUGAUGUUAUGUGUGAUAAAAUAAAGAAAGGUGGUUAUACUAUAAAAGUUGUACUAUAAAAGAUUGUCAAAAUAUUUCUGGGCGUACAUCUAGUUCCAGCUUUUUGCGUUUUCCAAAAGAUUCCGAAAGAGCAAAAUUGUGGUUGAGAAAAUGUAAUCGUGAAAUAAAAACAUCAGUAAUAAAUUCAUAUAAAAAUUAUAAGGUUUGUGAUGAUCAUUAUCCAUCAUUGAUGUUUUUAAACGAUUUAAAAAAUAGACUGCAACCGCAUGCAAUUCCGUUACUUACAACAAAUAAUAAUCAAGCUAUUGACGAGUCAAAUAAAAGCAAUGCAAUUUUUAAUUUGAGUGAAUCUGAAGAAAAUAUAUUAUUCAGGUAAAUAUUCAAGUAAAUAUUUUCUAAUUUUGGAGUUGUUGCAAAGAAAUUUGAUGAGUAUAAUUAUUGUAUUUUAGUUAAAUGCGGAGAUAUAACGUCUAAAUGAACGACUUGAAACCGAAUUUUCAUACAAAAUUGAACAUCAAUCAGUAUCAAGUAAUAAUUUUAGUUCAAUAAAAUUAAUAUUAAUAACAAAAUAUUUGGAUGAAUCAGACUGAAAUAUACAUUUGAUUAUAUUAUCGUACAAUUUAUUAUGUUUGUUCUUUUUUUGUAGUGAAUGGAUAAUAUAAUCAAUUAAUUUUUUGUGUUAUAAUUCUUUAGUACUUUUAAUAUUACUUUUUAAUAUAGUUAACACCCAUCAACUAAUGAAUAAUGAACAUGAAGAAGUAAAAUCAGCUUUGCAUCUAAAACAUCAGUACAAUCAAACAGAGCCAAAACUUUCCAAUUAUUCCCCGCGCAAAAAAAUUUUAAGAGGCAGAAUUACAGUAUUACAUCGAGAAGUUCGACGAUUAAAACAACAACUAGAACGUCAGAAAAAUAAUCUAAAAACUUCUAUGAGAAAAAUCUCUUUGGAAGAAUAUUGAGGCUACUGACAAAUUUUUGCAACCAGAAAUUGCAAAUUUUAUAAAAACUCAAGUGCGUCUUACUAAAUGUAAAUCAACCAAAAAACGGAAAUAUUAGCUUACAUUUAAAAAGUAUUGUUUGUAAAAAGUUUUGUGGGGGAAGAAAAGCUUACAAUUUUUUUGCACAAAAAUUUAUUCUUCCUUAUGUUAGAACCUUACAACGCAUGAUUCAACAUUGGAAAAUUGCUCCAGGUUUACAUGAUUUUAUUUUUGAUGCUUUAAAAAAAAGUUGGAAACUUCUUCGUCACCUCUCGAUAAGUAUUGCAUUUUAUGCAUUGAUAAAGCAUCAAUUACAGCAAAUUUGUAUUAUAAUAUAAAUCAGGACGAAGUUAUUAGGUUUGAAGAUUUGGGUGAUGACAAAUUUUAUCGUCUAGCGUGUAAUGUUGCGGUUUUAAUGAUGAGAGAGGUUUGUUACAAUUGGAAACAACCUUUGGCUUACUUUUUUCUCAAUUCUUCAUUCUGCUAUGAAAUGAACAAUCAUUAUUCCUCAAACAAUUGCAAAAUAGCAAAAUGCAGACUUUAAAGUACUCGCGUUUGUUUCAGACAUGAGAGGAAACUUUAAACAAACUGCUAAACUUUUUAGUGUGACAGAGGACAAUUCAUUUUUUUGUUAAUAAUAAGCAAAUUUUAUAUUUUUUUUAUUUACCUCAUAUAAUAAAAACUGUUAGAAAUAAUUUUCACGACAAUAUCAUUAAGUAUAAUUCUAAAUCAAUUUCUUGGGAAUUCAAUAUUUAUUUUAUGAAGAUCAAACUAGAGAAUUUCGACUUGCACAUAAACUUACUGAAAAACAUAUAAAAUUUUCAAAUUUUGAAAAAAAUGAAAGUAUACUUGGCUACACAAAUUUUAAGCUCUACAGUGAGUAGCAGCUUGAGGAAAUUAGUAAUUUCUAGAGCUUUGAAACCUGCAGAUACGACAAUUGCACUUAGAACAGCAGAUUUUAUUCAAAAUAUGAACGAUUUUUUUUAUCUAUUCAAUUCAUCUUCGGUUCAACAUCCAUCUCAAUUUAAACAAGCUUUGCAGGGAACGCAGUAUCAAUUGAAAUUUCUUUCAAAAAUUAAAGAAUAUAUAUUCAAAUUAGUGAGACUUCCGUUUCAGGGCCGUUGUGAGUUAGACGUAUGUGGAUAGCCGGUAGUUUUAUAGAGUGAUACUGAGAGUUAUUGAGGUGUUAGGAGAAGUAGGAUAGCGUGAUGUGAUUGCGGAGAGCGAGUGGAGUGUGUGGAUGGUCAAGAUAGAGUGGGGAGAAGAGUGUGUAAGCAAGAAAUUGCAUAUAAAGUAGGUGAGUUAGUGGGCAACAGAGCAGAGGCAGGGAUUAGAUAGGUUCAAGACAGGCGUGCGUGACGCAAGGAUUGAAUGGAGUAGAGAACAGAAGCGCCGCCUGAAGGUCUAGAGAGGGGAUAGGAUGGUUAAGGUGUAUUCACAAGAGACAACGGGCAUAGUCUAAAGCAUGAGUAAUAUAGAGAGAGGAAAAAGCGAUAGUUGUACGUCGUUAGAGGGAUAAAGGGGAAGUAAGAGAGUAGCAAGAUCUCCGCCUGGAGAGGGGGGGGGAUGAGUUGGUUAGAAACUUAAGGACGUGGAAAGAUGAGACAAUAGAGGGACUAAAAGUAGUAAAAACGGAAAUAAAAGAGGAAUUAAAAGAGAUUGUGGAAGAGCAGGGGAAAAGGAUGAGAGAGGAGAUAGAGGCUUUAAAAAAAGAAAUCAGGGAGCUUAGGGAAAGGGAGAGUAGAUGGGAAAGAGAAAAAAAAGGAGUUAGUGGAGGCACAGGAGGAGAUGAAAAGGAUAGAGAAGACGGAUAAGGUAGGAGAUAGAAUGCUAGAUAAGAGGGUUAAAGAGAUGGAGAAGAUGGAGUUGAAGGAUAGAGAAGAGAGGAGGAAAAAUGUGAUACUUAGGGGGGUGGCGGUAAAGAAGGGUAAGAGAAGGAAAGCCGUAAAAGGGGUGUUUAAAGAUAUAGGGGCGGAAGUGACGGUGAAGGGGAUUAGAAAUAUAGGAGAAGUAAAUAAGAAAGGGAGGGAGUUGCUAUGGAUAAGGUUAGAAAAUGAAGAGCAGAGGAAAGAGGUUUGGAGUAGAAAGAAGAAUUUAAGAGGGC